RNAcentral lists this ribosomal RNA (258 nucleotides) under uncultured bacterium. Its description in RNAcentral is "partial 16S ribosomal RNA". It matches the Rfam family "Bacterial small subunit ribosomal RNA", at positions 97 to 353 of the family's 1533-position model. The record is from RNAcentral.
GUCGGACGGGUGAGUAACGCGUGGGUAACCUGCCUUAUACAGGGGGAGUAACAGUCAGAAAUGGCUGCUAAUACCGCAUAAGCGCACAGAGCUGCAAGGCUCAGUGUGAAAAACUCCGGUGGUAUAAGAUGGACCCGCGUUGGAUUAGCUUGUUGGCGGGGUAACGGCCCACCAAGGCGACGAUCCAUAGCCGGCCUGAGAGGGUGAACGGCCACAUUGGGACUGAGACACGGCCCAGACUCCUACGGGAGGCAGCAU